CCUACGGGAGGCAGCAGUGGGGAAUAUUGGACAAUGGGCGCAAGCCUGAUCCAGCCAUGCCGCGUGAGUGAUGAAGGCCCUAGGGUUGUAAAGCUCUUUCGCCAGGGACGAUAAUGACGGUACCUGGAUAAGAAGCCCCGGCUAACUUCGUGCCAGCAGCCGCGGUAAUACGAAGGGGGCUAGCGUUGUUCGGAAUCACUGGGCGUAAAGCGCACGUAGGCGGAUCUUUAAGUCAGGGGUGAAAUCCCGGGGCUCAACCUCGGAACUGCCUUUGAUACUGGAGGUCUCGAGUCCGGGAGAGGUGAGUGGAACUGCGAGUGUAGAGGUGAAAUUCGUAGAUAUUCGCAAGAACACCAGUGGCGAAGGCGGCUCACUGGCCCGGUACUGACGCUGAGGUGCGAAAGCGUGGGGAGCAAACAGGAUUAGAUACCCGAGUAGUC
This 440-nucleotide ribosomal RNA is filed under the name uncultured Alphaproteobacteria bacterium. RNAcentral describes it as "bacterial SSU rRNA". It matches the Rfam family "Bacterial small subunit ribosomal RNA", at positions 338 to 795 of the family's 1533-position model. Lineage: Bacteria; Pseudomonadati; Pseudomonadota; Alphaproteobacteria. The record is from RNAcentral.